Molecule: long non-coding RNA, 748 nt
Organism: Mastomys coucha (southern multimammate mouse)
Lineage: Eukaryota; Metazoa; Chordata; Mammalia; Rodentia; Muridae
Exons: 3
Source: RefSeq, a predicted model, not a curated record
UUAAGAAGUUACUGAUAGGAGCAGGAAUGACUCAAAGGAUACUGCAUCAUUGUAAGCUCACAACAGCAUAGAAAAAUCAGUCUCUUUUUGAAGAUGCAGCCCCAGUGAAAGAGUCAUCCAACACCCUUGGGGGUCACAAUCAACAGGUUGAAAGUCACAGGUCAAGGAGGAUGAAGAGAUAUCAUGGGAUGGAGAGAAAGAAGAAGGUCAUGAGCAUGAAUUAGAAGUCUGACCAGCAUACAGCAUGCACUUGUGUGGAGUGUCCUGAUGCAACUGCACCAUGACAGUGAGCAGUAGCUUUUUAAAGGAAGAGUUUUAUGAAUGGUGAGAGGCACAGGGAGACUAGAGAAGUCCCAGCAGGAUGAGUGAGCAACCAGAGUAGGAGAUGGACAUGGAGACCUGGAAGAGAUCCUUUGAGAACCAGCCACAACCAUGCAGAGACCUAAAGGAUGACAGGGGCUGAUUCUGUGAUGUAAAACCAAGUUCUACAAGGAAUCAAAGGCCAGAGUGCCUGAAUCAAGACCCAGUUAGCUUUUGCUGUCUGUGACACACCUGGGAAGUUCUGCUCUGACUCUGUACUUGUGUCUCCAACUUUGAAGUGAGAGGAAGCCAUGAUGUCUGUAAUCCUUACACUAAAAAGCCAAAGCAGAAGAAUCAAGCAUUUAAAGACAAUAUCAGCAAUGUAGUGAGUGUGAGGCCAGCCUGGGCUUUCUCAAGUAAAUAAACAAAAUUUUAAAAUGAGGUUCAA